AUUGAACGCUGGUGGCAGGCUUAACACAUGCAAGUCGAACGGUAACAGGAAUUAGCUUGCUAAUUUGCUGACGAGUGGCGGACGGGUGAGUAAUGCUUGGGAAUCUGGCUUAUGGAGGGGGAUAACUACGGGAAACUGUAGCUAAUACCGCGUAAAAUCUUCGGAUUAAAGGGUGGGACUUUCGAGCCACCUGCCAUAAGAUGAGCCCAAGUGGGAUUAGGUAGUUGGUUAGGUAAAGGCUGACCAAGCCGACGAUCUCUAGCUGGUCUGAGAGGAUGACCAGCCACACUGGAACUGAGACACGGUCCAGACUCCUACGGGAGGCAGCAGUGGGGAAUAUUGCACAAUGGGGGGAACCCUGAUGCAGCCAUGCCGCGUGAAUGAAGAAGGCCUUCGGGUUGUAAAGUUCUUUCGGUGACGAGGAAGGUUGAUAGGUUAAUAGCCUAUCAAAUUGACGCUAAUCACAGAAGAAGCACCGGCUAACUCCGUG
Molecule: ribosomal RNA, 490 nt
Filed under: uncultured bacterium
Lineage: Bacteria
Description: partial 16S ribosomal RNA
Rfam family: Bacterial small subunit ribosomal RNA
Source: RNAcentral